This 253-nucleotide ribosomal RNA is filed under the name uncultured bacterium. RNAcentral describes it as "partial 16S ribosomal RNA". It matches the Rfam family "Bacterial small subunit ribosomal RNA", at positions 524 to 776 of the family's 1533-position model. The record is from RNAcentral.
GACAGAGGGGGCAAGCGUUGCUCGGAAUCACUGGGCGUAAAGGGCGCGUAGGCGGCGCAACAAGUCACUUGUGAAAUCUCCGGGCUUAACCCGGAGCGGCCAAGUGAUACUGUCGUGCUAGAGUGCGGAAGGGGCUACUGGAAUUCUCGGUGUAGCGGUGAAAUGCGUAGAUAUCGAGAGGAACACCUGCGGCGAAGGCGGGUAGCUGGGCCGACACUGACGCUGAGGCGCGAAAGCCAGGGGAGCGAACGGG